Molecule: ribosomal RNA, 119 nt
Filed under: Pteropus vampyrus (large flying fox)
Lineage: Eukaryota; Metazoa; Chordata; Mammalia; Chiroptera; Pteropodidae
Source: RNAcentral
GUCUACGGCCAUGUCACCCUGAACGCGCCCGAUCUCGUUUGAUCGCGGAAGCCAAGCAGGGCCGGGCCUGGUGAGCGCUGGGAUGGGAGACCGCCUGGGAAGGCCAGGUGCUGUAGGCG